RNAcentral lists this ribosomal RNA (433 nucleotides) under uncultured bacterium. RNAcentral describes it as "bacterial SSU rRNA". It matches the Rfam family "Bacterial small subunit ribosomal RNA", at positions 917 to 1462 of the family's 1533-position model. The record is from RNAcentral.
GGACCCGCACAAGUAGUGGAGCAUGUGGUUUAAUUCGAAGAUACGCGCAGAACCUUACCAACACUUGACAUGUUCGUCGCGACUUUAAGAGAUUAAAGUUUUCGGUUCGGCCGGACGAAACACAGGUGCUGCAUGGCUGUCGUCAGCUCGUGUCGUGAGAUGUUGGGUUAAGUCCCGCAACGAGCGCAACCCUCACUUUUAGUUGCCAUCAUUUGGUUGGGCACUCUGAAAGAACUGCCAGUGAUAAGCUGGAGGAAGGUGGGGAUGACGUCAAGUCCUCAUGGCCCUUAUGACCUGGGCUACAAACGUGAUACAAUGGCUAUUACAGAGGGCCGCAAAGCUGUGAAUACGUUCCCGGGCCUUGUACACACCGCCCGUCAAGCCAUGGAAGCUGGGGUACCUGAAGUCGGUAACCGAAAGGAGCUGCCUAGGG